CAUUAUUGUAGGAAAAAUUAUAAUAAUCUUCUUUCUAAAUACAAGGAGAUAACAACAAAUUUCUCUUGUUAUAUAAGAAACUAAGUAGGAAACAUUCGAGAGAUUACAAUAUUUUUCUCAAUAUAAUUUAUGUAUCUCUCUAAUGUCUAUUUUCUCUCUACUCGCUGCUUUCAAUUCCUCUUUACAAUUGUACGCCUCUCUCUUCAACUACAGCCCUCUAUAAAGAAAACUUCACCACCAAAUUAAUAAAUCUUUAUGAAGAAUAGAAUGGAGAAGAAACAAAAAUAUAACCAAGAAAUCAAGAACAAUAAUGAGAAGAUGAAGAAGGCUCGAACACGUAAUCGUUGUCCUCAAACGAUAUUUACCCCAUCUCGAUUAAAAUUUAGUGCUUACGGGAUUUUGGCAAAUGGUUUGCAGAAUUUACCAAGCCUUGCCAAGGAUUUAACAUUUAAGCACUUAAUGUAAUCCUUGAGAACUAAAAAAUGUAAAACCGGGCUUUGAAUAUGAUAGGGAGAGAUCUUGUGCUCUUUUGAGGAAUGAAAUCAAAAUCACAAUAUUGAUAUUUCAUUACAACACAACAUUG
This 583-nucleotide long non-coding RNA is filed under the name Olea europaea subsp. europaea. Lineage: Eukaryota; Viridiplantae; Streptophyta; Magnoliopsida; Lamiales; Oleaceae. The record is from RNAcentral.